GAUGAACGCUGGCGGCGUGCCUAAUACAUGCAAGUCGAGCGAACAGACGAGAAGCUUGCUUCUCUGAUGUUAGCGGCGGACGGGUGAGUAACACGUGGAUAACCUACCUAUAAGACUGGGAUAACUUCGGGAAACCGGAGCUAAUACCGGAUAAUAUUUUGAACCGCAUGGUUCAAAAGUGAAAGACGGUCUUGCUGUCACUUAUAGAUGGAUCCGCGCUGCAUUAGCUAGUUGGUAAGGUAACGGCUUACCAAGGCAACGAUGCAUAGCCGACCUGAGAGGGUGAUCGGCCACACUGGAACUGAGACACGGUCCAGACUCCUACGGGAGGCAGCAGUAGGGAAUCUUCCGCAAAGGGCGAAAGCCUGACGGAGCAACGCCGCGUGAGUGAUGAAGGUCUUCGGAUCGUAAAACUCUGUUAUUUGGGAAGAACAAAUGUGUAAGUAACUGUGCACAUCUUGACGGUACCUAAUCAGAAAGCCACGGCUAACUACGUG
Molecule: ribosomal RNA, 497 nt
Filed under: uncultured bacterium
Lineage: Bacteria
Description: partial 16S ribosomal RNA
Rfam family: Bacterial small subunit ribosomal RNA
Source: RNAcentral